GUGGGGAAUAUUGGACAAUGGGCGAAAGCCUGAUCCAGCAAUGCCGCGUGAGUGAAGAAGGCCUUAGGGUUGUAAAACUCUUUCACCGGGGAAGAUAAUGACGGUACCCGGAGAAGAAGCCCCGGCCAACUCCGUGCCAGCAGCCGCGGUAAUACGGAGGGGGCUAGCGUUGUUCGGAAUUACUGGGCGUAAAGCGCGCGUAGGCGGUUUGCCAAGUCAGGCGUGAAAGCCCCGGGCUCAACCCGGGAACUGCGUUUGAAACUGGCAAGCUUGAGGCCGGGAGAGGGUAGUGGAAUUCCCAGUGUAGAGGUGAAAUUCGUAGAUAUUGGGAAGAACACCGGUGGCGAAGGCGGCUACCUGGACCGGUUCUGACGCUGAGGUGCGAAAGCGUGGGGAGCAAACAGG
This 405-nucleotide ribosomal RNA is filed under the name uncultured bacterium. RNAcentral describes it as "bacterial SSU rRNA". It matches the Rfam family "Bacterial small subunit ribosomal RNA", at positions 354 to 776 of the family's 1533-position model. The record is from RNAcentral.